This 454-nucleotide ribosomal RNA is filed under the name uncultured bacterium. RNAcentral describes it as "partial 16S ribosomal RNA". It matches the Rfam family "Bacterial small subunit ribosomal RNA", at positions 28 to 507 of the family's 1533-position model. The record is from RNAcentral.
GAUGAACGCUGACAGAAUGCUUAACACAUGCAAGUCAACUUGAACUUCGGUUUGGGUGGCGGACGGGUGAGUAACGCGUAAAGAACUUGCCUCACAGCUAGGGACAACAUUUGGAAACGAAUGCUAAUACCUGAUAUUAUGAUUUUAGGGCAUCCUAGAAUUAUGAAAGCUAUAUGCGCUGUGAGAGAGCUUUGCGUCCCAUUAGCUAGUUGGAGAGGUAACGGCUCACCAAGGCGAUGAUGGGUAGCCGGCCUGAGAGGGUGAACGGCCACAAGGGGACUGAGACACGGCCCUUACUCCUACGGGAGGCAGCAGUGGGGAAUAUUGGACAAUGGACCAAGAGUCUGAUCCAGCAAUUCUGUGUGCACGAUGAAGUUUUUCGGAAUGUAAAGUGCUUUCAGUUGGGAAGAAAAAAAUGACGGUACCAACAGAAGUAGUGACGGCUAAAUACGUG